AGUGAACGCUGGCGGUAGGCCUAACACAUGCAAGUCGAACGGCAGCACAGUAAGAGCUUGCUCUUACGGGUGGCGAGUGGCGGACGGGUGAGGAAUACAUCGGAAUCUACUUUUUCGUGGGGGAUAACGUAGGGAAACUUACGCUAAUACCGCAUACGACCUACGGGUGAAAGCAGGGGAUCUUCGGACCUUGCGCGAUUGAAUGAGCCGAUGUCGGAUUAGCUAGUUGGCGGGGUAAAGGCCCACCAAGGCGACGAUCCGUAGCUGGUCUGAGAGGAUGAUCAGCCACACUGGAACUGUGACACGGUCCAGACUCCUACGGGAGGCAGCAGUGGGGAAUAUUGGACAAUGGGCGCAAUCCUGAUCCAGCCAUACCGCGUGGGUGAAGAAGGCCUUCGGGUUGUAAAGCCCUUUUGUUGGGAAAGAAAAGCAGCAGGUUAAUACCCCGCUGUUCUGACGGUACCCAAAGAAUAAGCACCGGCUAACUUCGUG
This 492-nucleotide ribosomal RNA is filed under the name uncultured bacterium. RNAcentral describes it as "partial 16S ribosomal RNA". It matches the Rfam family "Bacterial small subunit ribosomal RNA", at positions 29 to 507 of the family's 1533-position model. The record is from RNAcentral.